Maylandia zebra (zebra mbuna) is the source of this 405-nucleotide long non-coding RNA. RefSeq lists it as uncharacterized. The record is from RefSeq and is a predicted model, not a curated record. NCBI's taxonomy places the organism in Eukaryota, Metazoa, Chordata, Actinopteri, Cichliformes, Cichlidae.
UGGGGCGGCAGCUGAGGUGGUGUCCACUGGAGGGGUGGCCCAUGAGACUCAUUCAGGCUGAGCCUGCCUGAACCCCAUGGGCGAAGGCCGAACCAUCAGAUGUAACCCAAUCCAGUCAAGAUAACACAGUUCAGUGUUGACUUUUCCAUUGAAAGUCUUAUAUUGGGGACAUAUUUCAGUCAAAAAGGAUACACUUCAGGGUUCAAAACAUCAAGACAGUGAUUGCAAAAAUGUUCAGAUUGAAACUUCCAAACAAGACUUACUGACCACUCAGUGGCACCACAGCACCUGGGUCCUUCUACAUCUGUGUAAAGACUAUGUGAUAAACUGAAGAAAAAUAUAUGCUCAGCUCCACUUUCACUAGGUGUGGCUAUAUGAUAAAUUGUACAUUAAUAAAAUAUAAGC